Molecule: long non-coding RNA, 3068 nt
Filed under: Triticum aestivum (bread wheat)
Lineage: Eukaryota; Viridiplantae; Streptophyta; Magnoliopsida; Poales; Poaceae
Description: long non-coding RNA (TAES_LNC025104)
Source: RNAcentral
GUUGGUCCGUCUCCCAAAUUCCGGCGACGCCCACACCCCUAGCUCGCCGUGCUUCCCUGCCCCCCUCUCCGCACGGCCAGCUGGUGGCGCACGGGAACCAUCACUAACCAUGUAUGGAGGGCACAAGGCGGCAGCGGCCACCUCUAGCCUGAGGCCCGAAAGGAACGCCCGGAGACAUGCAGCCAUGGAGCUAAGCAUCGCCAGCCUCAUGAGCCCGCGCAGCCUGCGGGAGCCCCAUGCCCGGAAGCGACGGAAGUGCUUCUGGAUCAUGCGUGCCUCUCAGACAGCCGGCGUGCGUGACGUGGCAGCAGCGAGGGCGGGUCUUCCUUGUGCGCGUGCGUGUGGUGGUGAAUGUGAGGGUUGGACUGCUGAGGCUGCAGCGACCUCGAGCACGACUACGCGGCGCAAGAUUUAGUGGAGCAGGAGCUGGCCGUGGUCGGGCAGGUUCGGGGCGCAGGCGCAGCGGCGCAGGUGCUCGGGAAACCACGCGCGUGAUAGAAGGUACUGUUCUACACGCACAUGCGCGCUCGCUGCCUCUUCAGGGUCAAGCAAUUGCAGCUGAGUCUGCGGCUUGGUGCCUUGCAAUAGUAGUAUGUAAUGUUUAUUUCUUUGCCACUAAUUCUAGGAAUCAGAAGUAGCUUAAUUGCAUUAUUAGCACAGUUGAAAAAAAAAACAGACAGGGGUACAGAGUACCAUAUAUCAUCAUCUUUUAUUGUGUUUUUUCCAGCAGCACCUGUCUUGCCGAGCCAGUCGCAUAAUCUUGCAGUUGCAGGGCCGAGCUGCUCCCGAGUGUGGUUUUGUGUAGCUCAAGUUACAUGGUACCCCUUAUCUUAACCAUUCAUUUUUGCAUCAUGAUCCGUGCAGGCAUAUUUGUCAUUUUUGUUUCUCUCAAACGAAACAACGUAUAAACUUCAAACUUUGCAUGACAACCAAACAUUUUGAUUACUAUGUGGGAAAAAACUUUCAGAUUUUUUCAUGCAUUUUAAAUGCUAAAAUUUAUUUUUUUAAUCAAAAAAAUCCUCAUUUUGUAUAUUUAUGUUGGUCCAAAAAAUCUGAAAGUUUUUUCACACAUUGAAGUUGUAAAUUUUGUUUGAUCUGCAAAGUUUGAAGUCUAUAUGUUUUUUCAUUUGAAAAAACAAAAAAGAGAAAUAUUUUUGCUGUAAGUUAGUUGAAGAGUAUAGAUCUCAAAGCAAUAUUGAAGGGAUGAAGAUAAGAGGUUUCAUGUAGCCUGAGCUACAGAGAAACUUUACCAGCUGCUCCCUGUCUUUGCUUUUCCUCCAGGACUUCAGGUAAUUUUUGAUAUAUAUAUAUAUAUAUAUAUAUAUAUAUAUAUAUAUAUAUAUAUAUAUAUAUAUAUAUAUAUAUAUAUUCUCUCCCUGUUCUUUUUAUCUAUCGGCCCAUGGAUCUGUUUUGAGUUGCACAUUCCUUUGGCGCAGCAAUGCAUAUAUGAUUCAUGAUUCGUUCAAUAUGGCUAUGUUACAUUUGAUUCAAAUCAAAAUCAGACAUACAUCUGCACAAUGAUUAUUUUAAACACCAUUUGUUUGUUGUAACAGAUAUUGUGGAAGUGAUUUCAGAUGAUAAUUACCUGAUUGAUCCAGUCACUAGGAUGUUCUCCAAAAAAAUUAAUGAGACCGCGAAGUACAGUGUAGUUCAGACCUUUUUGUUCCGUGUACACCAUUUUAAACACCAUAGACUCAUUAUUGCAUCUCCCUUUUUGUUCCUUGUACAAAAACCGAACCUUGAUCUAUAACUAGAGAGGAUGUUUGGCUUCUUACAGUGUAGUUCAGACCUACGUUUAAUAUUUAAUUUAUCUUGGUUUUGCUGUUCUCCUUGCCCUCGCAUCUUCAGCCUCUCGCAGUCUCUACCCUGGUCCAACGCAUUUCCAGUUCAGUUCGCCACUUUGAUUCUUACUUUCCGUGAUGUGAUCUGGAUGUGAUACUUGGAGAAGGACUUGGAUAGUGCCUUAAUUUAAAUAACACACGAUUUAGUGAAGUUCCAUGAUCUUACUUCUCAUCUGAAUUUUAAUUGGUGGUGUAAAGAUCCAAACCAACUCUAGCUUAUUCAGCUGGUAGUGAGGUUUGAUGAUCCUUAAGAUAUCAUGUACGAGUACACACACAAAAAAUGAUGCAUUUUGACAUUUUGUAGAAUUUACUGAUGGUCAAUAUUAUACAGGAUCUAUGACUUGCUUGCUCCUCUUCACAUUUUAUACUUGCUCUUAUUUUGAUUCCGGCCUUAUUGCGUAGAGCAUAACCUGGUUUCUAAUGUUCAAUUCUAACUAGCUGAACUUCGGAUUAGUUGAAUUGGGGGAGCUAUAUGUCUUCGGAUUACUUUAACCUGGUUUCUAAUACUCAUCUCGGGUUUCUUGUUUAGAUUCAGUAAUCAGAUCCAGUUUAAAGUUUCAUUGUCUGCAGAAAAUUUUAUUCAGUGAUCAACGGUUCUCCUCCAACUGAAAUUUCAUGUUUAUGUUUUUUAUUCUAACCCUGUGUCCAUCUCCAGUUUACUCAAGAAACCAAGUAGGUGAUCAUGGAGGAUGACACAAGUACAUGCCAAGUCAGCGUAAAGCUGAGAUGGGAAACCAAAUUGAGCAACUUCAGAAGCGUAAUGCACUAUCCAAGGUAGACCACGAUAGCAGGUAGUCUUGUCAUCUUGCAUCUUUCUUUUUCGAGGAAUUUUGCAUCUUCAUAUAUCUUAUGCAUUGCUUAUAGCUGUGGCACAGAACAUGUAAUGGAAGACUAUUCUUUUUCUUAUUGCAUUUGUAACCUCUGUUUAUUAUACUGUAGAGAAGAGAACAACAUAUUUGAUACUAAUAGUUUCAUUUCCAUAAUGGUUGAAAAAAAACUGUCUGUAGUUUUCAGAUAUCUUGUCGAUGCUAGCCAGGAAGAGCACCAAAAGGAAUGCACUGUACCACUAGAUCACAGAGACCUACCCAGCUGGAGGAUUGACGUCUCAGUUCUAGCUAUAGAAUAUACAAGCAAUGGUACCAUUGUAAACUUGUAGUCUCGCCUACCAUCAUGUAUCUUAAGGAUGUAGCACCCAUGCUUAAACCAUGUAUAACUAUAUCCAUAAAG